UACAGGGGGUGCAACCGUUGCUCGGAAUCAUUGGGCGUAAAGCGCACGUAGGCGGACUGUUAAGUCGGGGGUGAAAUCCUGGGGCUCAACCUCAGAAUUGCCUCCGAUACUGGCAGUCUCGAGUGCGGGAGAGGUGAGUGGAAUUCCCAGUGUAGAGGUGAAAUUCGUAGAUAUUGGGAAGAACACCAGUGGCGAAGGCGGCUCACUGGCCCGUAACUGACGCUGAGGUGCGAAAGCGUGGGGAGCAAACAGG
RNAcentral lists this ribosomal RNA (253 nucleotides) under uncultured bacterium. RNAcentral's name for it is "partial 16S ribosomal RNA". It matches the Rfam family "Bacterial small subunit ribosomal RNA", at positions 524 to 776 of the family's 1533-position model. The record is from RNAcentral.